CCGGUGACUGCGGGAGAGACUGGCUGAAAACGCCAGCGCCGAAGGAGCAACCGCCCCGGAAACUCUCAGGCAAAAGGGACCGCAGUCAGGUC
This 92-nucleotide non-coding RNA is filed under the name Devosia soli. RNAcentral describes it as "Glycine sequence". It matches the Rfam family "Glycine riboswitch aptamer". Rfam says of the family: This family represents the bacterial glycine riboswitch. Glycine riboswitches usually consist of two metabolite-binding aptamers domains with similar structures in tandem. The aptamers cooperatively bind glycine to regulate the expression of downstream genes. Lineage: Bacteria; Pseudomonadati; Pseudomonadota; Alphaproteobacteria; Hyphomicrobiales; Devosiaceae. The record is from Rfam by way of RNAcentral.